UGGGGAAUCUUGCGCAAUGGGCGAAAGCCUGACGCAGCGACGCCGCGUGGGGGAAGAAGGCCUUCGGGUUGUAAACCUCUUUCAGCAGGGACGAAGCCACUCGGGUUAAUAGCCCAGAGGGUGACGGUACCUGCAGAAGAAGCCCCGGCUAACUACGUGCCAGCAGCCGCGGUAAUACGUAGGGGGCAAGCGUUGUCCGGAUUUAUUGGGCGUAAAGAGCGUGUAGGCGGCCAGACAGGUCCGUUGUGAAAACUAGAGGCUUAACCUCUAGACGUCGAUGGAAACCGUCUGGCUAGAGUCCGGAAGAGGAGAAUGGAAUUCCUGGUGUAGCGGUGAAAUGCGCAGAUAUCAGGAAGAACACCCGUGGCUAAGGCGGUUCUCUAGUACGGUACUGACGCUGAGACGCGAAAGCGUGGGGAGCGAACAGGAUUAGAUACCCUGGUAGUCCACGCCGUAAACGAUGGGUGCUAGGUGUGGGGGGUGUCGACUCCCUCCGUGCCGAAGCUAACGCAUUAAGCACCCCGCCUGGGGAGUACGGCCGCAAGGCUAA
Molecule: ribosomal RNA, 550 nt
Filed under: uncultured Actinomycetes bacterium
Lineage: Bacteria; Bacillati; Actinomycetota; Actinomycetes
Description: bacterial SSU rRNA
Rfam family: Bacterial small subunit ribosomal RNA
Source: RNAcentral